GUGAGAAAAGCCGAGGGGGGUCUGGCUUCACGGCGGAGAUGGAAGAUACCGCGCCGAGUGUGUGUUUUUGUGUAUGCAGAGUUUUGCAUGCAAGUGUGUGUGAGAGAAAAAGAUCCCCAUGCACACACAAAUACACACACACAUGCACUUCAGCCACGCAGAACAGACAGUCCCAGCAACAUGAAAUUCCAAGUAGAUUUAAUAUGCACAGUUGCACAAAUGGCAUGACUCGGAAAGCCUCCAAACCUCUCUUUCUGAGGUGAAAAACCUCCUCUUGAAGACGGGAGAGAAAGAAAACUAAUUCCACGGAGGACAGGAGUUGUAGCCGAGUGAGCGGAGGCGUUGGGAAAAGUGUCUCUGCAACACAGACGGUGAGACUCACUGCAGCGUGGUGCGGCCAACUCAUCUCCUCGUGCAAUUGUGAAUGUACUACGAGCAUGUCAUGAUGGAUAAACGCUGUCACGGAGAAAGGUUCGGUGGAUCAGAGUCUACACUUCCAAGGAUCCUUUUCCAUAGUUAUUGCCCAACUACAAAAAGAAAUGUAUAGACCUGUAGAGUUUGACCUAAAGCCUAAGGUUAACAUGAUUCCACGGCAUAAAAUAUGUAUGUUUCCACCACAGACUGAGGGCUCCACUUCGGCUCUAUGGCCGGCACCAUCUUGUCAUCAUGAUUAACUGCAGAGCAAGUUGUUUUGUCUGUCAGAUAAUACCAUUAAAAUGCUCCUCCAGUGGAUGUGAGGCCUAGCAGAUAGCUAAUGGCUACAGCUAACCGCACCCCUAAAUUCUAAUCCUUUAAUUCAUCCUGCGUAAAUACGUGGUCGGUGUGAACGGCUGCAUUAAGAAUAGGUGAGUCUGAAACAUUUUUUUAGUGCACAAAAUGUUUGCGUGAAUUUAAAGGCCUUUAGUGUAAAUAUGUUCACCGUUCUCAGAAGGUGUUAGCUAACAUGUUGAUUUUCAGGUCUGGUAGUCCUGGUUGUUAGGUGGCCACACUUUUGCCAUCAAGCCUCUUAGGUUCAGUACCCGCCUUCAAAUCAUUCACACUUGCUUGUAUUGUAUGUAUGUAGAUUCAUCCUUUGUCGCCUAUUGUUUUUUAUUAUCUUUUUAGUCUUUUACUGGUGUUUAUGAGCAACGCGUUACUGUAAUCCGAUUACUUUUUUCAAGUAACUUGACCAACACUGUUUAUGAGUCAUGUUCUGUUUUGAACUCCAUACCUAUGUUUUUGCGAUUUUCUGUUUUAAUUUACUGUCUGAGUAUUCUGGUCAUGAUUUUCCAAGCACUUUAAGAUUCAUAUUAUUGUAGUAGUACUGUUAUAAGAAACUAAAUGAGACUAUAGUUGUCAGAGACAUUCUUAUCAUCAAACACAGGAGGUUACAGACGCUGAAAUCACGUAACCGUGAUGCUGUUGAUUACUAAGUAAUUUAGGCAUAAAGAAACCUGUAAAGUGCAAUUAAAUUAUUAAGGAAAGAAUAAAAAACUAUCAUAAA
Long non-coding RNA from Oreochromis aureus, 1483 nucleotides. RefSeq lists it as uncharacterized. The record is from RefSeq and is a predicted model, not a curated record. Lineage: Eukaryota; Metazoa; Chordata; Actinopteri; Cichliformes; Cichlidae. The transcript has 2 exons.